This 563-nucleotide ribosomal RNA is filed under the name uncultured bacterium. RNAcentral's name for it is "bacterial SSU rRNA". It matches the Rfam family "Bacterial small subunit ribosomal RNA", at positions 339 to 906 of the family's 1533-position model. The record is from RNAcentral.
CUACGGGAGGCAGCAGUGACGAAUAUUGGUCAAUGGAGGAAACUCUGACCCAGCCAUGCCGCGUACAGGAAGACGGCCCUAUGGGUUGUAAACUGCUUUUGUACGAGAAUAAACCCUUCCACGUGUGGAAGGCUGAAGGUACCGUACGAAUAAGGAUCGGCUAACUCCGUGCCAGCAGCCGCGGUAAUACGGAGGAUCCAAGCGUUAUCCGGAUUUAUUGGGUUUAAAGGGUCCGUAGGCGGGUUUUUAAGUCAGUGGUGAAAGCCUACAGCUUAACUGUAGAAUUGCCAUUGAUACUGGAGACCUUGAGUGUAGUAGAAGUAGGCGGAAUAAGGCAUGUAGCGGUGAAAUGCUUAGAUAUGUCAUAGAACACCGAUUGCGAAGGCAGCCAACUAAGCCAUCAUUGACGCUGAGGGACGAAAGCGUGGGGAGCGAACAGGAUUAGAUACCCUGGUAGUCCACGCCGUAAACGAUGAUUACUCGGUAUUGGCUUCGGUCAGUGCCCAAGCGAAAGUGAUAAGUAAUCCACCUGGGGAGUAUGCCCGCAAGGGUGAAACUCAAAG